Molecule: ribosomal RNA, 100 nt
Filed under: Candidatus Fibrimonas sp.
Lineage: Bacteria; Pseudomonadati; Fibrobacterota; Fibrobacteria; Candidatus Fibrimonadales; Candidatus Fibrimonadaceae
Description: partial 16S ribosomal RNA
Rfam family: Bacterial small subunit ribosomal RNA
Source: RNAcentral
UUAAUGAAGAGUUUGAUCCUGGCUCAGAACGAACGCUGGUGGCGUGUUUGAUGCAUGCAAGUCGAGCGAGUCGGGCAGCAAUGUCCAGGCGAGCGGCGAA